AUAUCAAUAAGCGGAGGAAAAGAAACCAACAGGGAUUGCCUUAGUAACGGCGAGUGAAGCGGCAACAGCUCAAAUUUGAAAUCUGGCUUUAGGGCCCGAGUUGUAAUUUGUAGAGGAUGUUUUGGGUACCGCUGCAGUUUAACUUUCUUGGAACAGAAUAUCAGAGAGGGUGAGAGUCCCGUCUGGAACUGCGGUAGGGCCUGUGUAAAACUCCUUCGACGAGUCGAGUUGUUUGGGAAUGCAGCUCAAAAUGGGUGGUAAAUUCCAUCUAAAGCUAAAUAUUGGCCAGAGACCGAUAGCGCACAAGUA
RNAcentral lists this ribosomal RNA (309 nucleotides) under uncultured Phialophora. Its description in RNAcentral is "partial large subunit ribosomal RNA". It matches the Rfam family "Eukaryotic large subunit ribosomal RNA", at positions 40 to 350 of the family's 3401-position model. Lineage: Eukaryota; Fungi; Ascomycota; Leotiomycetes. The record is from RNAcentral.